Molecule: long non-coding RNA, 449 nt
Filed under: Mus spretus (western wild mouse)
Lineage: Eukaryota; Metazoa; Chordata; Mammalia; Rodentia; Muridae
Description: lncRNA (ENSMSPG00010045911.1)
Source: RNAcentral
AGUAGAGGCCUCCCUUCUGCGGAGGUGGCGCAGGCUGCUCGGCUACCCGGUGAGGUCCACGCGCAGCCCACCCGGCGCUCGGUUCCCCGGCCGCUGUCUCCCGCUGCAGGCGGCGGCGCCGGGCCUCGGAGGCUUCUAAUGUGAGGAAAAACAUGGAAUGACAAGUGUGGGAAAGAGCAAGCACUAAAUUACUGUCAGAAAAAUAAACGGAGCAGCACAGUGGUGCUCCGUGAUUUACGGGGGCAAUUAGUCACCACCCCACAGCGCUGCUGAGGACGGCCUGGCAGCAGACACAUCAGGCCCACAAGGAGGAAGAGGCUCUGCACUAAGCUCCAGAUGACUUUUCAAACAAGAGCAAGUCCGUGAGCACAUGAGAGUCUGUGUGUUCAUUCUGGGUGUCUACCCUUCACACUCCCCACCAGCUUGAUAAAUAAACAGACUUUUCGUGC